Oncorhynchus kisutch (coho salmon) is the source of this 2128-nucleotide RNA transcript. It is a transcript of the gene named putative ferric-chelate reductase 1, with no coding region annotated. Lineage: Eukaryota; Metazoa; Chordata; Actinopteri; Salmoniformes; Salmonidae. The record is from RefSeq and is a predicted model, not a curated record. The transcript has 15 exons.
GUGACCGGAAAUGACAGUGUAUUGGUGUAUACUGACUUCUAAUCCCCACUGAUACGUAUCAAACUAGUGUAGUGGCAUUCCAUUUUCAGUCCGCGCGUUGGCGACGUACUUCGCUCCUUCCUGAAUCAAGAUGUGCUCCGCCCAAAUGGUCCUCAUCAUUUUGAUUGGCAUUGCCACCAUUGAAACUGUGACUGGUUUUAGUGGUGGUGGUGUUACCAUGUCCUGUGACACAAUGUUGCCCCAACAUGGUUCUCCCACACCUGAGAGUGGUCCGUUUAGUGUCCCUAAACAUUUCUGUUCCAGUGCUGCAGGAGAUGAGACUAUAGUGUCACUCAAAGCUGAUCCUGCCACGACGUUUAAAGGGUUUCUGUUGGAGGCUAGGGAAUCACAGGAUGGACCUGCUGCUGGCACCUUCACUCUGCUCACUCCCGCUCAUAGCCGCCUUCUUCAGUGCGGUGGGAAUCCAGCAGCUGCUGUUACCCAACCAAACAACCAAGCCAAGACAUUCAUCGAAGCCAAGUGGAGAGCACCAUACAAAGGAGUUUUCUAUUUCAGAGUCACAUUUAUUAAAGACAUGAUGAAGUUCUGGAUACCAGAGGCCAUUAACAUCACCACCUGUCCUACUACUACUACUACUACUACCCCUAUUACUACUAUUACUACUCCUACUAUCACUACUCCUAUCAUUACUACUCCUAUCACUACUCCUACUCCUACUCUCACUACUCCUACUAUCAUUACUCCUACUAUCACUACUCCUACUAUCACUACUCCUACUAUCACUACUCCUAUCAUUACUACUCCUAUCAUUACUACUCCUAUCAUUACUACUCCUACUAUCACUACUCCUACUAUCACUACUCCUACUAUCACUACUCCUACUCCUGCUCUGCACACAUCUGCACCCUCUACGUGUAUGCUUAUUAGCGCUCUCAUUCGGCCUUCACUCUUGGUCAUGAGUCUUCCAAAAGGCCAGACACUUUGGCAUAAGUUGUUCAAGAUAUUGUUGUGUCCUCUCUCAAUGGUUGCAGCCAUCAUUGCCUUUAUUCUUUUGCUGCUAUGGGAGCCAAUACAAAUAACUCUUGUGGCUGUUGUGGGUGUGGCAAUGGUCCUGAGCUUGGGACAAACGAUUGUUGUUUUUCUACCCUUUGGGUCCAGCCAUGAACUGAGGUCCAUCUGUGAUUUGGUUCUCAGAGUGAUUGCCUUCACAACUGAGGUUUUUACCAUCGCGGCCAUAUUUGUGGGUCUGGAGGAAAUUGAGAAGUGCUGCUCGAUACACUGGCGCAUGAAAGUGAUGGGAGGGUAUACAGCCUGGGUGGCUCUGUUCUACUUGAUGUUCAUAUACCUCUGUUGCAACCAGAGUUACCAGAGGAAAAGAAAUGCAGGAAUUGAUGACAAAUGGAUUGUGCCAAAGAGAACGACACUCUCUUUUGAAAAAAUCCUCAAAGUUAUCCUCGUUCUGGGCAACUUUGGUUUUACAGUGGCUCUUAUCAUUGGAAUAUAUACUUAUGAGACAUGAGGACGGUGUAAAGCAAGAGAUGUGCUCCGCCCAAAUGGUCCUCAUCAUUUUGAUUGGCAUUGCCACCAUUGAAACUGUGACUGGUUUUAGUGGUGGUGGUGUUACCAUGUCCUGUGACACAAUGUUGCCCCAACAUGGUUCUCCCACACCUGAGAGUGGUCCGUUUAGUGUCCCGAAACAUUUCUGUUCCAGUGCUGCAGGAGAUGAAACUAUAGUGUCACUCAAAGCUGAUCCUGCCACAAAGUUUAAAGGGUUUCUGUUGGAGGCUAGGGAAUCACAGGAUGGACCUGCUGCUGGCACCUUCACUCUGCUCACUCCCGCUCAUAGCCGCCUUCUUCAGUGCGGUGGGAAUCCAGCAGCUGCUGUUACCCAACCAAACAACCAAGCCAAGACAUUCAUCGAAGCCAAGUGGAGAGCACCAUACAAAGGAGUUUUCUAUUUCAGAGUCACAUUUAUUAAAGACAUGAUGAAGUUCUGGAUACCAGAGGCCAUUAACAUCACCACCUGUCCUACUACUUCUACUACUACUGUCACUCCUACUACUAUCACUACUUCUACUACUACUGUCACUCCUACUACUAUCACUACUCCUACUACUACUGUCACUCC